Scylla paramamosain (green mud crab) is the source of this 2418-nucleotide long non-coding RNA. RefSeq lists it as uncharacterized. NCBI's taxonomy places the organism in Eukaryota, Metazoa, Arthropoda, Malacostraca, Decapoda, Portunidae. The transcript is spliced from 5 exons. The record is from RefSeq and is a predicted model, not a curated record.
GCCCCUGGCCAGUGUCCCUCGUACAGAAAAAAAAAAGUGUAGGUGUCUUGUUUCUUGUUAUUUUCUGCAGUUCCUUCAGGUCAGCAAACCCCAAGAACUUAUUGUCUGCCACCUUUUGUCUUGCAUGUAUCUGUAAGUGUGGUUAAUAUGCUUUAUAGAGGGACUGCCUGCCUUGUGUAGUCUUGCAGCUUCCAUUAUACUCUUAUGUACAUGGCAGGAUAUAUGAGACUUUCAAUUCUUAAGUUAUGUUAUGCACUUUGCCUUGGCCUCCUUGUGUGAGAUUGUCACUCGGUUCAUAUGCUUUUGAGUUUUAGGUAUGUUGGGUAAUGUUCUGAAACACUACUAAACCUCACUUCCACUGCUUUUAAAAGGCUCUGGAUGAAGUUACAUGUGUGUUGAGGUACUUAUGCAGGUCUAAUGCCAAAUUAACAAGAUUUCAAAUUUAUCAACAGGAGAAAUCUUUCUUGAGAACCCAGCUAAUCAUCUAUGUGGACUCUGAAAAUGGUCAUAGUGAGAGAGCAGAGUGCUUCAGAAUAUGGGCCAUGGUUUUACACAUGCAUCAUUAUCCACUGCAUACUCCAGCAGCAGCAGCAGCAGCAGCAGCAGCAGCAGACAGCUAAAUGCUGCACCACCCAUCAAGAGGAUGAAGAUUGCAGCCACAUCAGAGAGGCUGGCUGUGAAUUUAGUCUUCCUGCCACACAUUGAAGUUCCUGCUGAUAGCCAAUUGGACCUCAGCUUGUUCAUCAGGCUUGACUCCUGCAUCUUCUGAAGGCUGUAGGAAGAAUAAGUAAGCCCAAUAGCAUUGCCUCCUGUGAUGUAUUGGACUGGCAGUUCCUUGAUUCUGGAGGAGUCUGCAAUAGGAAGACCACAAAUGACAUCCAUACCUAUGAACAUGUAUUUACCUGCCAGAAUGCUUAAUUAUGUAAGGCCUGCCUGCCUGCCUGCCUGCCUGCCUGCCUGCCUGCCUGCCUGCCUGCCCCCUCCCCCCCCUCUCUCUCUCUCUCUCUCUCUCUCUCUCUCUCUCUCUCUCUCUCUCUCUCUCUCUCUCUCUCUCUCUCUCUCUCUCUCUCUCUCUCUCUCUCUCUCUCUCUCUCUCUCUCUCUCUCUCUCUCUCUCUCUCUCUCUCUCUGAAGUGUGGAUGGUAUAUCAGCACAGGGAGCAAAAAACCAAGGAGCCACUGAGGCUGUCACUUUGAAGAGGUCAUUGUUGUUGCAUCCAGCAUCCCAGCCUGACUGCCUAGACAGCUCCUGCAGGUUGCUGAAGGGCAGAGUCACAGACUGCUCCACUGCCAGGUGUGAGACCAGUGUGGCAGAGUAUGAUGUGUACACAAUGAGGGACACACCACAGCCAACCCUGUAGGUGACCUAUGCUGCACUGCUGAUUGGGUCCUCACUUUGCUGUAGGAGAGCUGACAACACGUACCAGCCAGCAACUCCCAUGCUGACAGGCUUCUCCCCCAUGGGUAUGUAGCACCUCUGGAGUUGGUCAGCAAAGAAGAGGAUGCUAGCCAAACCUAUCAUGUUAGUCAGGAUGCACCAGUACAGAGCUGUGUCCAUUGGGGUUGUGUAGGCUAGUAGCAUCUUGUCAAGAUCCUCAUAGGUGGCCACAAACAGUUUAUAGCUAUGAGAGGAGGACUUGCCUUGUGAACAUCACAUUGGGGAAGCCCACCCCAGCAGCCCAGCCUCCCCUGACAGCUGUCAUCAUCUGCUGCCUUGCCUGGGAGGACCAUAGACACAGCUUGUCUCUGAUGUCUUCCCCACAAUGCCUUGUCUUUGUUGGCUUCAGUGCAAUUUGUUUGUCUUCAGUUUAAAUAGUAUUGUAUAUACUAUCUUGUCUUCACCAUCUUGAAAUGUGAAGGAUGUUCUUGACAAACAAACAAGGUAGUAUUGUAUAAUUAUUACUUUAAAUAUUGUCUUAAAUUAUCUUGAAAUUUGUAAAAAAAAAAAUGUGUAAAAAGAAAGCAAAUACUCGUACAGAUGAUUAUCCCUGUAGUGAAGGAGGAAGGACUCAAUAUCCCUGUAGUGAAGGAGGAAGGACUCAAUAUCCCUGUAGUGAAGGAGGAAGGACUCAAUUUUUUUUUUUAAAUUAAGUUUAAGGUGUGAUUUGCACAUAGAGGCUCCUGGAUUUCCCUGUAGAUUGACCCUCCCUGAAUGCAGGGAGGGACGGUGCCUCUAUGUACAAAUCGCACCUUAAACUUAGUAUUUUGUAGUGAAGCCUUAAACUUAGUAUUUUGUAGUGAAGGAGGGAGGAAGGACUCCUUUCUGAGUCCUUCCUCCUUCACUACAGGGAUAUUGAUCUCUAUAAAUAAUUUUUUUUUACAAAGCUAGCUAACAAUUAUAAGGCAGAUUACAUUGAGUUAUAAUUAUUAAGCAAAUUUAAUUUUUUUUUCACAAUACAAUUAUUAAAUUUGACAAAUUA